Molecule: long non-coding RNA, 716 nt
Organism: Erinaceus europaeus (western European hedgehog)
Lineage: Eukaryota; Metazoa; Chordata; Mammalia; Eulipotyphla; Erinaceidae
Exons: 2
Source: RefSeq, a predicted model, not a curated record
AGGUUCCGCCCUAGCCUUGCUGGUGUACUCCUAAGUGGGUGCGGCAGGUCUGGAAAGACUUCCCGCUUGGUGUCUUUGCCCACUUUUGAGAGCUUUUCACAGUCAAUGGUUCAGGACAAGAAACACCUGGGCGGUGGGGGGAUGGAGGAGUGCAGUUUCCCUGAGGAAUGAGCUGGAACCUUCUCCACUCUACACCUAGGAGCCACCAGGUUCCAGAUGCCAGCAUGAUGCUGACCAGAUUUCCCUGGACAAAGGACCCCACCAAUGUGUCCUGGAGCUCCACUUUCCCAGAGCCCCACCCUACUAGGCAAAGAGAGAGAGGCAGACAGGGAGUAUGGAUCGACCAGGCAAUGCCCAUGUUCAGCGGGGAAGCAAUUACAGAAGCCAGACCUUCCACCUUCUGCAACCCACAAUGACCUUGGGUCCAUACUCCCAGAGGGAUAAAGAAUGGGAAAGCUAUCAGGGGAGGGGAUGGGAUACAGAGAUCUGGUGGUGGGAAUUGUGUGGAGUUGUACCCCUCCUAUCCUACAGUUUUGUUAAUGUCUCCUUUUUUAAAUUAAUUAAUUAAUUAAAAAAAGAAAAUACUUUGCAUAACUGAUAACGCUAUUUCCCCUAGCCACUUUCCAACACAAUUUCUAAAGAAUGUCUAACCUUAUCAAGAAUAUCCAGACAUUGUUGCACACAGCAUUUUAUACAAAAAUAAACAACUGAAAACU